Molecule: non-coding RNA, 148 nt
Filed under: Nomascus leucogenys (northern white-cheeked gibbon)
Lineage: Eukaryota; Metazoa; Chordata; Mammalia; Primates; Hylobatidae
Source: Rfam by way of RNAcentral
GCUGGGUGUGGUGGCGUUUGCCUGUAGUCCCAAUUACUCAGGAGGCUGAGGUAGGAGGAUCACCUGAGCCUGGGAGGUUGAGGCUGCAGUGAGCCAUGAUCGCACCACUGCACUCUAGCCUGGGCAACAGAGUGAGACCCUGUCUCAA